GCACCCGUAGCUCAAUCGGAUAGAGCAACUGCCUUCUAAGCAGUAGGUUAUCGGUUCGAUUCCGGUCGGGUGCG
RNAcentral lists this transfer RNA (74 nucleotides) under Candidatus Dojkabacteria bacterium. RNAcentral's name for it is "tRNA-Arg". It matches the Rfam family "tRNA". From Rfam's summary of the family: Transfer RNA (tRNA) molecules are approximately 80 nucleotides in length. Their secondary structure includes four short double-helical elements and three loops (D, anti-codon, and T loops). The record is from RNAcentral.